UUCGCAAUGCCCGAAAGGGUGACGAAGCGACGCCGCGUGCGGGAAGAAGGCCCUAGGGUUGUAAACCGCUGUCAGGAGUUAAGAAAUAUAGAGGUGUUAAUAGCGCUUCUAUUUGACGAAAGCUCCAGAGGAAGCCACGGCUAACUCUGUGCCAGCAGCCGCGGUAAUACAGAGGUGGCAAGCGUUGUUCGGAAUUGUUGGGCGUAAAGAGCACGUAGGCGGCCCUGCAAGUCAGUUGUGAAAGCCUUCCGCUUAACGGGAGAACGGCAGCUGAUACUACGGGGCUAGAGUACGGGAGGGGAGAGUGGAACUUCUGGUGGAGCGGUGAAAUGCGUAGAUAUCAGAAGGAACGCCGGCGGCGAAAGCGACUCUCUGGACCGAAACUGACGCUGAGUGUGCGAAAGCUAGGGGAGCAAACGGGAUUAGAUACCCCGGUAGUCCUAGCCGUAAACGAUGGGCACUAAGUAGAGGGGUUUUGAUUAUCUCUCUGCCGGAGCUAACGCAUUAAGUGCCCCGCCUGGGGAGUACGGCCGCAAGGCUAAAACUCAAAAGAAUUGACGGGGGCUCGCACAAGCGGUGGAGCAUGUGGCUUAAUUCGAUGCAACGCGAAGAACCUUACCGGGGCUUGACAUGAUAGAAGUAGAAACCCGAAAGGGCGACGAACGGUAUCCAAUCCGUAACUAUCACAGGUGUUGCAUGGCUGUCGUCAGCUCGUGUCGUGAGACGUUGGGUUAAGUCCCCUAACGAGCGAAACCCUUGUCUUUAGUUGCCAUCAGGUUAAGCUGGGCACUCUAAAGAGACUGCCGUCGUUAAGACGGAGGAAGGUGGGGAUGACGUCAAGUCAUCAUGGCCCUUAUGUCCCGGGCUGCACACGUGCUACAAUGGUCGAUACAAAGGGAUGCUAAAUCGUGAGAUGGAGCGAAACUCAUAAAGUCGAUCCCAGUUCAGAUUGGAGGCUGAAACUCGCCUCCAUGAAGUAGGAAUCGCUAGUAAUCGCGGAUCAGCCUCGCCGCGGUGAAUAUGUUCCCGAGCCUUGUACACACCGCCCGUG
RNAcentral lists this ribosomal RNA (1051 nucleotides) under uncultured Planctomycetota bacterium. RNAcentral's name for it is "bacterial SSU rRNA". It matches the Rfam family "Bacterial small subunit ribosomal RNA", at positions 365 to 1398 of the family's 1533-position model. Lineage: Bacteria; Pseudomonadati; Planctomycetota. The record is from RNAcentral.